GACGAACGCUGGCGGCGUGCUUAACACAUGCGAGUCGAACGGAAAGGCCCUGAUUUUGUGGGGUGCUCGAGUGGCGAAGGGGUGAGUGACACGUGAGUAACCUGCACUUAACUUUGGGAUAACUUCAGGGAAAUGGGGCUCAUAUAGGAUAGGAUCUCCUGCUGCAUGGGGGGGGUUGGUAAGUUUCGGCGGUUGGGGCUGGACUAGCGGCUUAUCAGCUUGUUGGGGGGGUAGUGGAGUACCAAGGCUUUGACUGGUAGCCGGCCUGGGCGCGUGACCGGCGACAAUGGUACUGAGAUACGGCCCAGACUCCUACGGUAGGCAGCAGUGGGGAAUAUUGCACAAUGGGCGGAAGCCUGAGGCAGCAACGCCGCGUGCGGGAUGACGUCCUUCUGGUUGUAAACCGCUUUCGACUGUGACGAAGCGUGAGUGACGGUAAUGGGUAAAGAAGCACCGGCUAACUACGUG
This 468-nucleotide ribosomal RNA is filed under the name uncultured bacterium. RNAcentral describes it as "partial 16S ribosomal RNA". It matches the Rfam family "Bacterial small subunit ribosomal RNA", at positions 28 to 507 of the family's 1533-position model. The record is from RNAcentral.